RNAcentral lists this ribosomal RNA (253 nucleotides) under uncultured bacterium. RNAcentral describes it as "partial 16S ribosomal RNA". It matches the Rfam family "Bacterial small subunit ribosomal RNA", at positions 524 to 776 of the family's 1533-position model. The record is from RNAcentral.
UACAGAGGUCUCAAGCGUUGUUCGGAAUUACUGGGCGUAAAGCGCGCGUAGGCGGAUCGCUAAGUCAGGGGUGAAAUCCCAGGGCUCAACCCUGGAACUGCCUUUGAUACUGACGAUCUGGAGAUCGGGAGAGGUUGGUGGAAUUCCGAGUGUAGAGGUGAAAUUCGUAGAUAUCGUGAGGAAGACCGGUGGCGAAGGCGGAUCUCUGGACAGUUCCUGACGCUGAGGCGCGAAGGCCAGGGGAGCAAACGGG